This 465-nucleotide ribosomal RNA is filed under the name Vreelandella stevensii. RNAcentral describes it as "partial 16S ribosomal RNA". It matches the Rfam family "Bacterial small subunit ribosomal RNA", at positions 338 to 795 of the family's 1533-position model. Lineage: Bacteria; Pseudomonadati; Pseudomonadota; Gammaproteobacteria; Oceanospirillales; Halomonadaceae. The record is from RNAcentral.
CCUACGGGGAGCAGCAGUGGGGAAUAUUGGACAAUGGGGGCAACCCUGAUCCAGCCAUGCCGCGUGUGUGAAGAAGGCCCUCGGGUUGUAAAGCACUUUCAGUGAGGAAGAACGCCUGGUGGUUAAUACCCAUCAGGAAAGACAUCACUCACAGAAGAAGCACCGGCUAAUUCCGUGCCAGCAGCCGCGGUAAUACGGAGGGUGCGAGCGUUAAUCGGAAUUACUGGGCGUAAAGCGCGCGUAGGUGGCUUGAUAAGCCGGUUGUGAAAGCCCCGGGCUCAACCUGGGAACGGCAUCCGGAACUGUCAAGCUAGAGUGCAGGAGAGGAAGGUAGAAUUCCCGGUGUAGCGGUGAAAUGCGUAGAGAUCGGGAGGAAUACCAGUGGCGAAGGCGGCCUUCUGGACUGACACUGACACUGAGGUGCGAAAGCGUGGGUAGCAAACAGGAUUAGAUACCCCUGUAGUC